This 329-nucleotide ribosomal RNA is filed under the name uncultured eukaryote. Its description in RNAcentral is "partial 18S ribosomal RNA". It matches the Rfam family "Eukaryotic small subunit ribosomal RNA", at positions 1470 to 1796 of the family's 1831-position model. The record is from RNAcentral.
CCCUUAGAUGUUCUGGGCCGCACGCGCGCUACAAUGAUGAAUUCAACGAGUUUAUAACCUUGGUUGAAAAGCCUGGGUAAUCUUUUGAACUUUCGUCGUGAUGGGGCUAGACCCUUGCAAUUAUUGGUCUCCAACGAGGAAUUCCCAGUAAACGCAAGUCAUCAGCUUGCAUUGAUUACGUCCCUGCCCUUUGUACACACCGCCCGUCGCACCUACCGAUUGAAUGGUCCGGUGAAAUCUUCGGAUUGAGACUUUGAUUUCUUCACGGAAAACGCUGUUUUAAAAAGUUGAUUAAACCUUACCAUUUAGAGGAAGGUGAAGUCGUAACA